CAGAGGAUCGUGAAAGCUGAGCUGGUGGACUACCAUCAGGACGAAGUCCCCGUUAGACAGGAGACCAAUCAGAGCAAAAUCUGUUCGGUUCAGUAGUUGGAACGUGUGGUGAAGGCAGACAUCGUGAACUACAGUCAAGAACCUGUGGCGAGGACAGUCAACCCCCCGCGCAGCUCCAUGUGUGCGGUGCAGUGACCGCCUCUCUCCCCCACCUCCCCUCUUGCUCCUCCACAAACUGACUAUAGCAGUGAGGGCUUCUGACCAGCAGGCUGCCCCCAACACACUGGCCCAUAGCCAAAGCAGGGGAAUUGAGCCAGCUUUUAUUCUGCUACACACACACACCUUCUCUCUCUCUCUCAACGCACAAGUCUUUAGAAAGGCUUUAUAUCAGUAUUUCCUUUUUUGAGGGUUUUCAGGGUCAUCAGAUAUUUUAAGAUUUGAAUGUGAGGAUCUCUCUGUAUGUACAGUUUGUAUAUGUAAAGGGACCCCACAGUAUAUUCAUGGCUUCAAUACAUUUAAUCUAUUUUCAUGAAUGGAUUUCUUGAGUAGUAAUCAGCUUUGGUUGCAGCAUACGUCUGUUUAAAUAUGAAGUUAUGCUGAAAGCAAAUGGGCCCUCCACUUUUUCAGCAAUAUAUUUUGAGCAACUGUUAUAUUCUUUUGUCAUUUUUUUUCUUCUACUGUCUUCAUUAUUCAAUUAUUCUUCAAAGGACCAUUUUUGAUUGUGUGUGUGUAUGCAUGUAUGUAUUCAACAAAAAUAUAAACGCAACAUGUAAAGUGUUGGCCCCAUGUUU
Salvelinus namaycush (lake trout) is the source of this 791-nucleotide long non-coding RNA. RefSeq lists it as uncharacterized. NCBI's taxonomy places the organism in Eukaryota, Metazoa, Chordata, Actinopteri, Salmoniformes, Salmonidae. The transcript is spliced from 2 exons. The record is from RefSeq and is a predicted model, not a curated record.